AAGAGCUCAUCAUUGGAAUCUGGCAGUGUUGCACUGUCCGAGUUGUAGAUGAGGAGUAGUCCAUCUGGACUGCAUGGCGUCCAAGUACAAUAGGCCGUCAGUGGGACAUCAUAGAGGGUGACAAUCCCGUCCUUGAUGCCAAUGUGCAAGUCCGUUACGAUGGCUAUCUCAGAGAGUCGAGCAGUUUGGGAUUUGCUGCUUAAACAUGGGAGGUAGAUUCCUUCUAAAGCUAAAUACAGGCGAGAGACCGAUAGAGAACAAGUACCGCAAGGGAAAGAUGAAAUAGCACUCUGUGAAGGGAGUCAAAAGGCGUGAAAUUGUUGCGAGAGAAGCGAUUCAAGUCAGCGUAGCUAGGCCCAUCAAGCGUCUCGCUUUGGACUAGCUUUGCCAGCGGUCUUGUCCUUUAGAGAGACUUGACUUGUUAACGAUGUCCAGCCUGGUAUGCACAGGUAGCCCCCCGGGGUCAGUGGCAUGGCUGGUGGAAUGGCUUGCAAUCGACCCGUCUUGAAACACGGACCAAGGAGUCUAACAUGUAUGCGAGUAUAAGGGUGGCAAACCCGUAUGCGCAAUGAACGUGAUUUUCGGUGAUUGAGAAUGGCCUGAUGACCAGACAAGCAAUACAUGUCCCUCGGACGGCCAUUGCCCAAGUUCCGUGGUAGAUCCCAUGAACAUGGAGUUGGAGCAUACAUGCUAGGACCCGAAAGAUGGUGAACUAUGCCUGGACAAAGCGAAGCCAAAGGAAACUCUGGUGGAGGCUUGUAGCGAUUCUGACGUGCAAAUCGAUCGUCUGAUCUGGGUAUA
This 801-nucleotide ribosomal RNA is filed under the name Cantharellus ferruginascens. RNAcentral describes it as "eukaryotic LSU rRNA". It matches the Rfam family "Eukaryotic large subunit ribosomal RNA", at positions 103 to 919 of the family's 3401-position model. The record is from RNAcentral. Lineage: Eukaryota; Fungi; Basidiomycota; Agaricomycetes; Cantharellales; Hydnaceae. RNAcentral also lists the same sequence under 1 other name.